UGUGGGGUGACGGCGUGCCUAUCGAAAAAUGAGUCUGCGAGUCAGUGGCAUGUGGCGAGCAUAACCCGUGUGGGGUAUGCGUAGCGAAGGCGAGUCUUAAAAGGCGUUUGAGUCGCGUGUCCUGGACCCGAAGCGGGAUGAUCUAGCCCUGAGCAGGUUGAAGCGCGGGUAAGACCGCGUGGAGGACCGAACCCACCUGGGUUGAAAACCGGGGGGAUGACUUGGGGCUAGGGGUGAAAGGCCAAUCAAAUUCCGUGAUAGCUGGUUCUCUCCGAAAUGCAUUUGGGUGCAGCGUCGGGUCAUUACGUCCCGGGGGUAGAGCUACUGGAUGCUUGCGGGCCCGUAUCGGGUACCAACAGCAACCAAACUCCGAAUACCGGUGACGCGUAUCCCGGCAGUGAGUCGGCGGGGGAUAAGCUUCGUCGUCGAAAGGGAAACAGCCCAGACCGUCGUCUAAGGUCCCGAAGCGUGUGCUAAGUGGGAAAGGAUGUGGAGUCGCAUAGACAGCCAGGAGGUUGGCUCAGAAGCAGCCACCCUUGAAAGAGUGCGUAACAGCUCACUGGUCUAGUGGUUCCGCGCCGACAAUGUAGCGGGGCUCAAGCACACCACCGAAGACGCGGCAGUAUUUUGUACUGGGUAGGAGAGCGUCCCAUGAGGGGCGAAGCGGCCGUGUGAACGCGCCGUGGACUUCAUGGGAGUGAGAAUGCAGACAUGAGUAGCGAGAGACGGGUGAAGAUCCCGUCCGCUGGAUGACCAAGGGUUCCAGGGCCACGUUCAUCGUCCCUGGGUGAGUCGGGUCCUAAGGCGAGGCCGACAGGCGUAGUCGAAUGGAUGAACGGGUCGAUAUUCCCGUACCGGCUUUCAGCCGCCAAAACCGAGGCUUGGAGUACUAACCUCCGGGUCCGGGCUUACUGCUCCUUCGGGGGCGGGAUGCCCUGGCCUGUUGGGACCGAUCCUUGUAGUAGGUCAGCGCAGGAGUGACGCAGAAGGGUAGCCGGCCGCGGAGGUGGUCUUCCGUGGUCAAGCACGCAGGGCGUGGGACAGGCAAAUCCGUCCCGCAUGGGUCCGAGGUGCGAUGAUGGGGGCCUUAUGGCCCGAUAUCCGGUGAUCCCGGCUGCCGAGAAAAGCUUCGGCGUCAGGCUCGAAGCCGCCCGUACCCCAAACCGACACUGGUGGUCAGGUAGAGAAUACCAAAGCGAUCGAGCGAAUCCUGGUCAAGGAACUCGGCAAAUCACUCCCGUUCCUUCGGUUUAAGGGAGACCCCCGAUGGUGAACACACUUGCUGUGGGAGCUUUUGGGGGUGGCACAGACCAGGGGGUAGCGACUGUUUACCAAAAACACAGGUGCAUGCGAAGGCGCAAGCCGCUGUAUAUGCACUGACGCCUGCCCGGUGCCGGAAGGUUAAGAGGAUCCGUCAGUCCUUCGGGAUGAAGCGGUGAAUUCAAGCCCCGGUAAACGGCGGUGGUAACUAUAACCAUCCUAAGGUAGCGAAAUUCCUUGUCGGGUAAGUUCCGACCUGCACGAAUGGCGUAA
This 1533-nucleotide ribosomal RNA is filed under the name human gut metagenome. RNAcentral's name for it is "bacterial LSU rRNA". It matches the Rfam family "Bacterial large subunit ribosomal RNA", at positions 587 to 2004 of the family's 2925-position model. The record is from RNAcentral.